RNAcentral lists this ribosomal RNA (1243 nucleotides) under metagenome. RNAcentral describes it as "bacterial LSU rRNA". It matches the Rfam family "Bacterial large subunit ribosomal RNA", at positions 1564 to 2815 of the family's 2925-position model. The record is from RNAcentral.
UGAGUACGAGAUGCUACGGCAUCGAAGCAGUCUAUGUCAUACUUCCAAGAAAAGCUUGCAAUGUCAUAAACAAAUAAUGCCUGUACCAUAACCGACACAGGUGGGUAGGUAGAGUAUACUAAGGGGCGCGAGAUAACUCUCUCUAAGGAACUCGGCAAAAUGACUCCGUAACUUCGGGAGAAGGAGUGCCUUAUUUUUAUAAGGUUGCAAUAACAAGAUCCAAGCAACUGUUUACCAAAAACACAGGUCUCCGCUAAGUCGUAAGACGAUGUAUGGGGGCUGACGCCUGCCCAGUGCCAGAAGGUUAAAGAAGUUGGUUAGCAUUAGCGAAGCUGAUAACUGAAGCCCUGGUGAACGGCGGCCGUAACAAUAACGGUCCUAAGGUAGCGAAAUUCCUUGUCGGGUAAGUUCCGACCCGCACGAAAGGCGUAAUGAUUUGGAUACUGUCUCGGAGAGGGGCUCGGUGAAAUAGACUUGCCUGUGAAGAUGCGGACUACCUGCACCUGGACAGAAAGACCCUAUGAAGCUUUACUGUAACUUGAGAUUGAAAUUGGACUUUAUCUGCGCAGUAUAGGUGGGAGACGUUGAAAAUAUUCUUGCGGGAAUAUUGGAGUCAUCAGUGAGAUACCACUCUUAUAAUGUUAGAUUUCUAACUUUGUAUCAUUAUCUGGUCAAAGAACAGUUUCAGGCGGGCAGUUUGACUGGGGCGGUCGCCUCCCAAACGGUAACGGAGGCGCACAAAGGUUUCCUCUGAACGUGUAGAAAUCGUAUCUAGAGUGUAAAGGCAUAAGGAAGCUUGACUGUGAGACCUACAAGUCGAGCAGGGACGAAAGUCGGUCUUAGUGAUCUGACGGUGCUGAGUGGAAAGGCCGUUACUCAACGGAUAAAAGUUACUCUAGGAUAACAGGCUGAUCUCCCCCAAGAGUUCACAUCGACGGGGAGGUUUGGCACCUCGAUGACGGCUCAUCGCAUCCUGGGGCGGUAGUACGUCCCAAGGGUUGGGCUGUUCGCCCAUGAAAGCGGUACGCGAGCUGGGUUCAGAACGUCGUGAGACAGUUCGGUCCAUAUCCGGUGUAGGCGUUAGAAUAUUGAGAGGAGCCUUCUUUAGUACGAGAGGACCGAGAAGGACAUACCUCUGGUGUACCAGUUAUCGUGCCAACGGUGAACGCUGGGUAGCCAUGUAUGGAGAGGAUAACCGCUGAAAGCAUCUAAGUGGGAAGCCCACCUCAAGAUAAGCAUUCUC